RNAcentral lists this ribosomal RNA (252 nucleotides) under Fusobacterium mortiferum. RNAcentral describes it as "partial 16S ribosomal RNA". It matches the Rfam family "Bacterial small subunit ribosomal RNA", at positions 524 to 776 of the family's 1533-position model. Lineage: Bacteria; Fusobacteriati; Fusobacteriota; Fusobacteriia; Fusobacteriales; Fusobacteriaceae. The record is from RNAcentral.
UACGUAUGUCGCAAGCGUUAUCCGGAUUUAUUGGGCGUAAAGCGCGUCUAGGCGGUUUGGUAAGUCUGAUGUGAAAAUGCGGGGCUCAACUCUGUAUUGCGUUGGAAACUGCCAAACUAGAGUACUGGAGAGGUGGGCGGAACUACAAGUGUAGAGGUGAAAUUCGUAGAUAUUUGUAGGAAUGCCGAUGGGGAAGCCAGCCCACUGGACAGAUACUGACGCUAAAGCGCGAAAGCGUGGGUAGCAAACAGG